AACCUGGUUGAUCCUGCCAGUAGUCAUAUGCUCACCUCAAGGAUUAAGCCAUGCAUGUCGAAGUAUAAACUAGUAUACGGUGAAACUGCGAACGGCUCAUUAAAUCAGUUGCAAUCGAAGUGGCGAUAUCAGGUCUUGAUCGGAUAACACUGGCAAAUCUAGUGCUAAUACGUCCGGCUGGUAGAGGCGAGCAAUCGCGUCUGCCGGCCGCACUUACUAGCUGCUGCUGCCAACGGGCUGGAGGCGCCCUCGUGACGCCCCCGGCUCCCCCCGACGAGCCAUAGUAAGGAGUUGACCGCCCCCGCGGGCGGCGUGCCAUUCGAGCUUCUGCACUAUCAUCUCAGGUUGGUAGAGUAGUGGUCUACCAAGGAGUUUACGGUUAACGGAGGAUUAGGGUUCGACUCCGGAGAAUGAGCCUGAGAGACGGCUCAUACAUCCAAGGAUGGCAGCAGGCGCGAAAAUUACCCAAUGUACAAAGUACGAGGUAGUGACAAGGAAUAUCGGGGCCUGUGGGCAUUUUGCCCAUGCGGCCGCUGACAUGGACCGGCUCCAAAGGUGCCGGUGAAUACGAGUCGAGGGAAAGGUCUGGUGCCAGCAGCCGCGGUAAUUCCAGCUCGACCAGCGUAUAUUAAAGUUGUUGCAGUUAAAACGUUCGUAGUUUGACUUGCGGGGUGCGAGAACAGUGGUUUAUGGUUUUGGGGGUCAGCGCGGGGGGAUUGGCUUCGGUCAGUACCCUUGCGUCCCCGGAUCCAGCGCGGGGGGGUGUGCAGCGCUUGAAUAAAGUGCUGCGCGCUUUUACGCGUUCCGUCCUAACGGGCGGGGCCCUUCGUCAGCACUCUGUUUGCGCGUGCCUUCACCGGUGCGCGCGAUUACCAUGAGGAAAUAGGUACGUUCAAAGUAGGGUGGCGGUCACUGCUAGCGCUGUAAUAGGCGCGCAGACCCGCCCGUCCCGUUGAACAGGCCAGCAUGGGAUAAUGUGCUACGACUCGGCGUCAGUAGUACGUUGGCUUGCAGCGGAUGCAGAGUAAUGGUUGAUAGGAGUGAGUGCGUGGGCAUCAGGACCAGACGGGGACAGGUGAAAUAGGAUGAUCCGUCUGAGACUAUCGGGAGCGAAAGCGUUUGCCAAGUACACUUUCAUUAAUCAAGAUCGAAAGCCAGGGGAUAGAAGGCGAUUAGACACCACCGUAUUCCUGGCCAUAAACCAUACCAACUAAGAAUUGGGAGUGCAUUCCAUUUUUUAUUUUUGGUUCCUCUCAGCGCUCAUAGAGAAAUCGUUAAGUUUUCGGGUUCUGGGGGGAGUAUGGUCGCAAGGCUGAAACUUGAAGGCAUUGACGGAGAGAUACCACAAGACGUGGAGUCUGCGGCUCAAUUUGACUCAACACGUAAACCUUACCAGGCCCAGACGUGCGUGGGAUUGACAGAUUGAUAGUUCUUUCAUGAUUGCAUGGUUGGUGGUGCAUGGCCGUUCUUAGCCCGUAACGUAAGUCGUCUGCUUUAUUGCGAUAACGAGCGAGACCUCUGUUGUCAAAUACGCUGCACGUGCUCUGUGUUCCGCGUGCCGGCCUCUUUUUUUGGCUGGCUUGCGCGGCGGCACCUGUGCGGGCGUUCUUGGCGAGACUGUUGGCGAUUUCAAAGCCAAAGGAAGGUAGAGGCAAUAACAGGUCUGUGAUGCCCUUAGAUGCCCUGGGCCGCACGCGUACUACACUGCCUGAUUCAGGAGGAUUUUUUUCAGCUGGCCUGAAGGGGUCGGCUACUCGUGAAUAUCAGGCGUGGCUGGGAUUGGGGCUUGGAACUAUGCCCCAUGAACAAGGAAUGUCUAGUAGGCGCGCUUCACAAAGACGCGCCGAUUCUGUCCCUGUCCCUUGUACACACCGCCCGUCGCUUGAUCCGAUUGGUUAUUUUGGCGAGUUCUUCGGACGCACUGUCCUCCAUUGCCGCGCUGCGAGGCGCUGUGAGGUGGGCUGCGGAAGUUGUGCGAGCCUAAAGAAUUAGAGGAACAAGAAGUCGUAACAAGGUAUCCGUAGGUGAACCUGCAGAAGGAUCAAGC
Retortamonas sp. ATCC 50375 is the source of this 2047-nucleotide non-coding RNA. The record is from Rfam. Lineage: Eukaryota; Fornicata; Retortamonadidae.